RNAcentral lists this ribosomal RNA (468 nucleotides) under uncultured bacterium. Its description in RNAcentral is "partial 16S ribosomal RNA". It matches the Rfam family "Bacterial small subunit ribosomal RNA", at positions 28 to 507 of the family's 1533-position model. The record is from RNAcentral.
GACGAACGCUGGCGGCGUGCUUAACACAUGCAAGUCGAACGGAAAGGCCCUGCUUUUGUGGGGUGCUCGAGUGGCGAACGGGUGAGUAACACGUGAGUAACCUGCCCUUGACUUUGGGAUAACUUCAGGAAACUGGGCCUAAUACCGGAUAGGAGCUCCUGCUGCAUGGUGGGGGUUGGAAAGUUUCGGCGGUUGGGGACGGACUCGCGGCUUAUCAGCUUGUUGGUGGGGUAGUGGCUUACCAAGGCUUUGACGGGUAGCCGGCCUGAGAGGGUGACCGGCCACAUUGGGACUGAGAUACGGCCCAGACUCCUACGGGAGGCAGCAGUGGGGAAUAUUGCACAAUGGGCGGAAGCCUGAUGCAGCAACGCCGCGUGCGGGAUGACGGCCUUCGGGUUGUAAACCGCUUUCGCCUGUGACGAAGCGUGAGUGACGGUAAUGGGUAAAGAAGCACCGGCUAACUACGUG